This 209-nucleotide long non-coding RNA is filed under the name Mytilus galloprovincialis (Mediterranean mussel). Lineage: Eukaryota; Metazoa; Mollusca; Bivalvia; Mytilida; Mytilidae. The record is from RNAcentral.
CACGGGUUGUCGUUUGAUUGUGUGGUACGUGUAUGUUUAGAUAUGCAGUUCAGUCCAGUUGGUAUAUGACAUUAAUUGCUAAGCUUCAGAAAAAAUGAGUAACGUGCAAUCUGUCAUUGAAGACUUUCUGGUGUUUAUUUGUGGGCUGUUAUAAAGCCAAAAUUUUGCUCUUAUCCAAUACCUUUAUUUUCAAGUGAACAGUAACGCCC